AGAGUUUGAUCCUGGCUCAGGACGAACGCUGGCGGCGUGCUUAACACAUGCAAGUCGAACGGUGAACUCCGCUUGCGGGGGGAUCAGUGGCGAACGGGUGAGUAACACGUGGGCAACCUGCCCCUGGCUCUGGGAUAACUCCAAGAAAUUGGGGCUAAUACCGGAUAUGACCGCUGACCGCAUGGUCUGGUGGUGGAAAGAUUUAUCGGCUGGGGAUGGGCCCGCGGCCUAUCAGCUUGUUGGUGGGGUAGUGGCCUACCAAGGCGACGACGGGUAGCCGGCCUGAGAGGGUGACCGGCCACACUGGGACUGAGACACGGCCCAGACUCCUACGGGAGGCAGCAGUGGGGAAUAUUGCGCAAUGGGCGGAAGCCUGACGCAGCGACGCCGCGUGGGGGAUGACGGCCUUCGGGUUGUAAACCUCUUUCAGUAGGGACGAAGCGUGAGUGACGGUACCUACAGAAGAAGCACCGGCCAACUACGUGCCAGCAGCCGCGGUAAUACGUAGGGUGCAAGCGUUGUCCGGAAUUAUUGGGCGUAAAGAGCUCGUAGGCGGUUUGUUGCGUCGGCUGUGAAAUCCCGAGGCUCAACCUCGGGUCUGCAGUCGAUACGAGCAAACUAGAGUGUUGCAGGGGAGACUGGAAUUCCUGGUGUAGCGGUGAAAUGCGCAGAUAUCAGGAGGAACACCGGUGGCGAAGGCGGGUCUCUGGGCAACAACUGACGCUGAGGAGCGAAAGCGUGGGGAGCGAACAGGAUUAGAUACCCUAGUAGUCC
This 774-nucleotide ribosomal RNA is filed under the name uncultured bacterium. RNAcentral's name for it is "bacterial SSU rRNA". It matches the Rfam family "Bacterial small subunit ribosomal RNA", at positions 8 to 796 of the family's 1533-position model. The record is from RNAcentral.